This 66-nucleotide non-coding RNA is filed under the name unclassified sequences. The record is from Rfam.
UAUCUUUGCGGCCUGAUUGAAAAUCAAUCAUAAUACAUAAAAAUCAUUUAAAAUAAUAUUGGAAUG